UCAAAGUCGAUAGCAGAUGCCUUUUUAAAAUGGGUGAUGAUGCAAAUAAGGAGCUAAUUCUAUAGAAUGUGGGGUACAAAUCUAUAUUGUAUAUGUAUGUUGUCGUUGCUGAUUCUCAAAGUGGACUCAAAAACCUUGCAAAAGAUGCGUAUAAACUAUAAAGAAACACAGCAUCACACGGCAGAAGAAGAUAGUAGAAGAUGAAGCUCAGGUUAAUGGAGCUAGUAGAGGUAUGUGUCACAAUAACAAAAAUCUGAAAAGAACAAAUGAAUUAUUGCACCACAUGCCCAAUAGGCUCUGAACUUAUUAUAUGUGAAAAUUAUGAGUCCUUUUAAAAACAGUAAUUUAUAUGUGUAGGAUUAUUGGUCUCAGCUAUACAACAAUCUUUUGAUUAACUCACAAACACUUACAAGGUUUACACUUUUUGGACUCACUAAACACUAUGCUGCAUUCACUAUCUGCUCUGUAUAUUUCAUUUCCUACAAAGUCACAAUAGCUUCAAGGUUAUUCUUCAUUGUUCUUUUUAUAAUUUGAUUCUAGUUCUUCUUCUAUCAAACCUAAAAGCUUAUAACAUCUUUUGUGUUGCCUUUAUUGUCAAGCUAUAUGGUUAUUCUAUGAAAAUAUGGACUAAAAUGUUUUUGGCAGCCUCCUUUGUCUCAGUUGAACCAUAUUAAAAAGAUCAAAAUCAACAAAAACAUGAUAAAGAAGGAUUUAUGAAGGUAAAGAUAUGAUGACAACCUUAAUUUAUUGAAGUGUUAUGUUAAGACCCUUACAUGGCAAAGCAAAGGAGAAAAGAAAGGAUCAAAGAUUUCAAAUUCCCAGAGAACACCAACUCUUGCACCCAUCACAUCCAAGAAUGUUAUUCUAUGCAUAUGGUGAAAUGAGAAUGACCUCUGUCAUACUAUUUAGUAAAAUGUUAAUGAAUAUUCUUAGAGC
This 936-nucleotide long non-coding RNA is filed under the name Lupinus angustifolius (narrow-leaved blue lupine). Its description in RNAcentral is "long non-coding RNA (LANG_LNC000005)". The record is from RNAcentral. Lineage: Eukaryota; Viridiplantae; Streptophyta; Magnoliopsida; Fabales; Fabaceae.